This is a long non-coding RNA of Strigops habroptila (Kakapo), 166 nucleotides long. RefSeq lists it as uncharacterized. The record is from RefSeq and is a predicted model, not a curated record. The transcript has 3 exons. NCBI's taxonomy places the organism in Eukaryota, Metazoa, Chordata, Aves, Psittaciformes, Psittacidae.
CCUAUUCACCUUCCAGAGCACCCCUGGGUGCCCAGUGGCCAUGGGCACGAUGCUGCCGCCAUCACAAAGCCGUGGCGGUCGCUGUGGAGACGUCCAUUGUGACAGGGGCCCCCACGGUGAGCGUGGGCUAUUUAAGGAGCGAGAGCCCUGGAGUUAACCAGUGCAG